RNAcentral lists this ribosomal RNA (283 nucleotides) under Megamonas funiformis YIT 11815. RNAcentral's name for it is "partial 16S ribosomal RNA". It matches the Rfam family "Bacterial small subunit ribosomal RNA", at positions 493 to 776 of the family's 1533-position model. The record is from RNAcentral. Lineage: Bacteria; Bacillati; Bacillota; Negativicutes; Selenomonadales; Selenomonadaceae.
UCUUUUCCUUUUUUUCCAUCCUCCUCUUUAAUACGUAGGCGGCAAGCGUUGUCCGGAAUUAUUGGGCGUAAAGGGAGCGCAGGCGGGAAACUAAGCGGAUCUUAAAAGUGCGGGGCUCAACCCCGUGAUGGGGUCCGAACUGGUUUUCUUGAGUGCAGGAGAGGAAAGCGGAAUUCCCAGUGUAGCGGUGAAAUGCGUAGAUAUUGGGAAGAACACCAGUGGCGAAGGCGGCUUUCUGGACUGUAACUGACGCUGAGGCUCGAAAGCUAGGGUAGCGAACGGG